Molecule: unclassified non-coding RNA, 258 nt
Filed under: plant metagenome
Description: partial contains small subunit ribosomal RNA and internal transcribed spacer 1
Rfam family: Eukaryotic small subunit ribosomal RNA (bases 1-46)
Source: RNAcentral
AAGUCGUAACAAGGUUUCCGUAGGUGAACCUGCGGAAGGAUCAUUACAAAUAAAGCCGGUAGGAGGUGGGGUCUUGAUCUGUAAGUGGUAGUGCGAACAGUCCGGCUGCCUCCCCGAAAUGUCUUGCAUCGCCCCCACAGCCUGAAGGCCGAAUUACAACCCUUGAUUAUCUACACUUGUUGCUUUGGGGUGCUCAAGUGCCCCAGAGGACCCAAACUCUGCUUUGUUGACGUCUGAGUACUAUAUAAUAUUUAAAAA